RNAcentral lists this ribosomal RNA (253 nucleotides) under uncultured bacterium. RNAcentral's name for it is "partial 16S ribosomal RNA". It matches the Rfam family "Bacterial small subunit ribosomal RNA", at positions 524 to 776 of the family's 1533-position model. The record is from RNAcentral.
UACGUAGGGUGCGAGCGUUAAUCGGAAUUACUGGGCGUAAAGCGUGCGUAGGCGGUUGGCAAAGUCAGCUGUGAAAGCCCCGGGCUUAACCUGGGAAUGGCGGUUGAAACUAGUCGACUCGAAUCUGGCAGAGGGGGGUGGAAUUCCACGUGUAGCAGUGAAAUGCGUAGAGAUGUGGAGGAACACCAAUGGCGAAGGCAGCCCCCUGGGAUAACACUGACGCUCAGGCACGAAAGCGUGGGGAGCAAACAGG